AUACGAAGGGGGCUAGCGUUGUUCGGAAUUACUGGGCGUAAAGCGCACGUAGGCGGACUGGAAAGUUGGGGGUGAAAUCCCGGGGCUCAACCCCGGAACUGCCUCCAAAACUUCCAAUCUAGAGAUCGAGAGAGGUAAGUGGAAUUCCUAGUGUAGAGGUGAAAUUCGUAGAUAUUAGGAGGAACACCAGUGGCGAAGGCGGCUUACUGGCUCGAUACUGACGCUGAGGUGCGAAAGCGUGGGGAGCAAACAGGAUUAGAAACCCCAGUAGUCC
RNAcentral lists this ribosomal RNA (274 nucleotides) under uncultured bacterium. RNAcentral's name for it is "partial 16S ribosomal RNA". It matches the Rfam family "Bacterial small subunit ribosomal RNA", at positions 523 to 796 of the family's 1533-position model. The record is from RNAcentral.